GUGCUCAAAGUAGAUGCGGGUCUUCUCUGACGGGAUCUCACAGCAUUGUGGAAAAUUGAUAUGGAUGGGAAAGUGAAUGAAGCAGUUGAGAUAUGCUUUGGGUCUUUUCACCGUUAUGCACAAUAUAUGAAUUUCUCACACCCCUUGAUCAAGGAGAAGUUUGAACUUGAUGCGUGGAGGAAGGGAAAAUGCAUUGAAGCAGAAUCUU
Zingiber officinale is the source of this 208-nucleotide long non-coding RNA. RefSeq lists it as uncharacterized. Lineage: Eukaryota; Viridiplantae; Streptophyta; Magnoliopsida; Zingiberales; Zingiberaceae. The transcript has 2 exons. The record is from RefSeq and is a predicted model, not a curated record.